This 405-nucleotide ribosomal RNA is filed under the name uncultured bacterium. RNAcentral describes it as "bacterial SSU rRNA". It matches the Rfam family "Bacterial small subunit ribosomal RNA", at positions 355 to 776 of the family's 1533-position model. RNAcentral also lists the same sequence under 1 other name. The record is from RNAcentral.
UGGGGAAUCUUGCGCAAUGGACGAAAGUCUGACGCAGCGAUGCCGCGUGCGGGAUGAAGGCCCUCGGGUUGUAAACCGCUUUCAGCAGGGACGAAAUUGACGGUACCUGCAGAAGAAGCCCCGGCCAACUACGUGCCAGCAGCCGCGGUAAUACGUAGGGGGCGAGCGUUGUCCGGAUUUAUUGGGCGUAAAGAGCUCGUAGGCGGUUCGAUAAGUCGGAUGUGAAAUCUCCACGCUCAACGUGGAGGGGCCAUUCGAUACUGUCGUGACUCGAGUCCGGUAGGGGAGUGUGGAAUUCCCGGUGUAGCGGUGAAAUGCGCAGAGAUCGGGAGGAACACCCGUAGCGAAGGCGGCACUCUGGGCCGGUACUGACGCUGAGGAGCGAAAGCGUGGGGAGCAAACAGG